UACUGAGCAGACCCUGAAACAAGUGAUUUGAACAUGAUUAAAGCCUGUCUUACAGAAAGGCGCCCAGUCUUGAUCUGAGGAUGCCAAGAGAUGGAGAAUUGUUUUUUCCCUUGAUACCAGAUCAUCUACCUCGAUGACCUCCUGCAGCAGUGAGUUCCACAGUUCAGCUGGUCUCUGCGUAAAGGGUUCUCAUUUUGUGCCAACAUGGCCGAAUACAUCUCCCACCCCUCCUCCACCUGGAACCUGGGCACUCAGCCCCCUCACACCUCCACCCUUUACCCUUUGGAGCCCAUGGAUCUGGGAGUUUCUGAGCAGCAGACACCUCUGGAGGAGACUCCAUCAUCCCCAGAGCUGGGUAACGACGAGGAUUUCAACUCUCCACCGGACCCUGAUGUACCCUAUCCAGACCUGGCACCCGUGGUAUUCUUCUGCUUGAAACAGACCACCAGCCCCCGGAACUGGUGCAUCAAAAUCGUGUGCAAUCCAUAUCCUUUCAGAGCUGCCUGCUGCCCCUCCUAAUCUUUUUGCUCUCUUCUACCCCAUGCCUCCCUCUGCUCUCGCGGGGUGCCUG
Long non-coding RNA from Gavialis gangeticus (Gharial), 571 nucleotides. RefSeq lists it as uncharacterized. The transcript is spliced from 3 exons. The record is from RefSeq and is a predicted model, not a curated record. Lineage: Eukaryota; Metazoa; Chordata; Crocodylia; Gavialidae.